CCUACGGGUGGCUGCAGUGGGGAAUAUUGGACAAUGGGCGAAAGCCUGAUCCAGCCAUGCCGCGUGUGUGAAGAAGGUCUUCGGAUUGUAAAGCACUUUAAGUUGGGAGGAAGGGGUUGAAGCUAAUACCUUCAAUCUUUGACGUUACCAACAGAAUAAGCACCGGCUAACUCUGUGCCAGCAGCCGCGGUAAUACAGAGGGUGCAAGCGUUAAUCGGAAUUACUGGGCGUAAAGCGCGCGUAGGUGGUUCAGUAAGAUGGAAGUGAAAUCCCCGGGCUUAACCUGGGAACUGCUUUCAUAACUGCUGAGCUAGAGUACGGUAGAGGGUAGUGGAAUUUCCUGUGUAGCGGUGAAAUGCGUAGAUAUAGGAAGGAACACCAGUGGCGAAGGCGACUACCUGGACUGAUACUGACACUGAGGUGCGAAAGCGUGGGGAGCAAACAGGAUUAGAUACCCCGGUAGUC
Molecule: ribosomal RNA, 465 nt
Filed under: uncultured Pseudomonas sp.
Lineage: Bacteria; Pseudomonadati; Pseudomonadota; Gammaproteobacteria; Pseudomonadales; Pseudomonadaceae
Description: bacterial SSU rRNA
Rfam family: Bacterial small subunit ribosomal RNA
Source: RNAcentral